GAUGAAGAACGUAGCGAAAUGCGAUACUUGGUGUGAAUUGCAGAAUCCCGUGAACCAUCGAGUCUUUGAACGCAAGUUGCGCCCGAAGCCAUUAGGCCGAGGGCACGCCUGCCUGGGCGUCACACGUCGUUGCCCCCCCAUCUACUCCUUCGGGAUUGCGGGGGGCGGAUGAUGGCCUCCCGUGCGCCUCGUCGCGCGGUUGGCAUAAAUACCAAGUCCUCGGCGACGCACGCCACGACAAUCGGUGGUUGCGAAACCUCGGUUGCCCGUCGUGUGCGGUCGUCGCGCAUCGAGGGCUCGAAAAAAUUGCCGGGCUCCGGCUCGGCUUUCAACGCGACCCCAGGUCAGGCGGGGUUACCCGCUGAAUUUAAGCUUAUCAAUAAGCGGAGG
Molecule: unclassified non-coding RNA, 390 nt
Filed under: soil metagenome
Description: partial contains 5.8S ribosomal RNA, internal transcribed spacer 2, and large subunit ribosomal RNA
Rfam family: 5.8S ribosomal RNA (bases 1-122)
Source: RNAcentral